GACGAACGCUGGCGGCGUGCUUAACACAUGCAAGUCGAACGGUGAAGCGCCUUCCUUUUUGGUUGGUGUGGAUGAGUGGCGAACGGGUGAGGAACACGUGAGUAACCUGCUCCCUUCUUCUGGAUAACCGCAUGAAAGUGUGGCUAAUACGGGAUAUUCUGUGUCUGUCGCAUGAUGGGUCUGUGAAAGAUAUUGUUUCUGUGGGGGAUGGUCUCGCGGUCUAUCAGCUUGUUGGUGGGGUGAUGGCCUACCAAGGCGGUGAGGGGUAGCCGGCCUGAGAGGGUGGACGGUCACACUGGGACUGAGAGGCGGACAAGACUACUACGGGAGGCAGCAGUGAGUAAUAUUGCACAAUGGGAGCAAGGAUGAUGCAGCGACGCCGCGUGAGGGAUGGAGGCCUUCUGGUUGAGAACCUCUUUCGCGAGUGAAGCAGGCCUGCCUCGUUUGUGGGUGGGUUGACGGUAGCUGGAGAAGAAGCGCCGGCUAACUACGUG
Molecule: ribosomal RNA, 494 nt
Filed under: uncultured bacterium
Lineage: Bacteria
Description: partial 16S ribosomal RNA
Rfam family: Bacterial small subunit ribosomal RNA
Source: RNAcentral